UUUGUAAUUAUUUGUCUCACCUACACUAAAUGUUUUUAUUAUGGUCGAUGUGUAUUCUACAAAGCAGACACUACUGCGCAACGUAGCGUAAUGUCAUUAAUGUUUUUUGGUAAUCUACUGUAUUUGUAGUAUUUUCUCACCCAGCUAAAUGUUUUAAUUUGAAGGAAUAAAAGAGUUCAUUGCUGUUAUUGUAUGUACUCCGGCUACCUUUUUGACGUUCUGUCUUUUCCUAGUUUUUUUUUUGUGUAGAUUUUACGUAGCAGUUAGACAAAAAUGGCAGCAGAGCGUACAGCCAAUCCUUCAUGGAGCAAUUUACAGCUACGAUUGGAUUCAGGUGUGACAGAUAUACCUGAAGAAAGGGAAUCAACCGGAAAUAGAACCGCCCGUUAUCAGCCGACAACAGAUUCUGUAAUACGAACUGUACAUACCUCCCAGCCUGAUUCGAAGCUACCGGUGCAGGAAGGUGGCGGGUUUGGGUGUGGAGAAUCGUGUGGCUGCUGUGGCCUUGGUGAAUCAUGUUCCUGUAGAUGUUGUUAAGAGUAGCAGCAAGUUGACGUCCGCACGUUUCGUUUCCUUUGUUCUUUACCAUGGACCACCAAAUUCAGUAGCUUUCGUCACUUGUUAAAUUUAUUAUGGAAUCAGACUCGCUUGUCUUAGUCUUGGAGUUCUCGUGUCUUAUUUGUUAGCCUCUAAGUUUCAACUGCAUUUCUGCUGUUAGCAGUAAAAAUCUGUUUAGGUAGGAUUUGUUUCAUUUGUUUGUAACGUUCUCAGUUCUCUUGAUUGGUGAGUAGCCGUACUUACUACUCACUUCAUUAAUUAUGGCUAUCAAUCACUUCGGUCGUUUUCAUUUCGACCAUGCUCA
Long non-coding RNA from Paramacrobiotus metropolitanus, 862 nucleotides. RefSeq lists it as uncharacterized. The transcript is spliced from 2 exons. Lineage: Eukaryota; Metazoa; Tardigrada; Eutardigrada; Parachela; Macrobiotidae. The record is from RefSeq and is a predicted model, not a curated record.